GAUGAACGCUGGCGGCGUGCCUAAUACAUGCCAGUCGAGCGAACAGACCAGGAGCUUUCUCCUCUGACGUUAGCGGCGGUCGGGUGAGUCACACGUGGAUAACCUACCUCUACGACUGGGAUAACUUCGGGAAACCGGAGCUACUACCGGAUAACAUAUUGAACCUCAUUGUUCCAUAGUGAAAGUCGGUUUUGCUGUCACUUAUAGAUGGAACAGCGCCGCAUUAGCUAGUUGGGAAGGUAACGGCUUACCAAGCGAACGAGUCGUAGCCGACCUGAGAGGAGAUCGGCCACACUGGAACUGAGACACAGUCCAGACUCCGACGGGAGGCAGCAGUAGGGAAUCUUACGCAAUGGGCGAGAGCCUGACAGUGCAAAGCCGCGUAAGUGAUGAUGGUCUUCGGAUCGUAAAGCUCUGUAAUUCGGGAAGAACAAAUGUGUAAGUAACCAGGCUCGUCUUGACGGUACCUAGUCAGAAAGCCACGGCUAACUACGUG
This 496-nucleotide ribosomal RNA is filed under the name uncultured bacterium. RNAcentral's name for it is "partial 16S ribosomal RNA". It matches the Rfam family "Bacterial small subunit ribosomal RNA", at positions 28 to 507 of the family's 1533-position model. The record is from RNAcentral.